This 353-nucleotide ribosomal RNA is filed under the name uncultured Fusibacter sp. RNAcentral describes it as "bacterial SSU rRNA". It matches the Rfam family "Bacterial small subunit ribosomal RNA", at positions 1031 to 1382 of the family's 1533-position model. The record is from RNAcentral. Lineage: Bacteria; Bacillati; Bacillota; Clostridia; Eubacteriales; Fusibacteraceae.
GAGACAGGUGGUGCAUGGUUGUCGUCAGCUCGUGUCGUGAGAUGUUGGGUUAAGUCCCGCAACGAGCGCAACCCUUGUGUUUAGUUGCAAACAGGUCAAGCUGUGCACUCUAGACAGACUGCCGUGGACAACACGGAGGAAGGUGGGGGAUGACGUCAAAUCAUCAUGCCCCUUAUGAUCUGGGCUACACACGUGCUACAAUGGCCGGUACAACGGGCAGCGAAGGAGCGAUCCGGAGCGAAUCCUAAAAAGCCGGUCCCAGUUCGGAUUGCAGGCUGAAACUCGCCUACAUGAAGUUGGAGUUGCUAGUAAUCGCGAAUCAGAAUGUCGCGGUGAAUGCGUUCCCGGGUCUU